GGAAAUGUGAACCUGGAAGAAAUGCUAAAUGACUUCUGGGCACGCCUUCUGGAACGGAUGUUCCGCCUGGUGAACUCCCAGUACCACUUUACAGAUGAGUAUCUGGAAUGUGUGAGCAAGUAUACCGAGCAGCUGAAGCCCUUUGGAGACGUCCCUCGAAAACUGAAGCUGCAGGUGACUCGUGCAUUUGUAGCAGCCCGUACUUUUGCACAAGGCUUAGCCGUUGCAAGAGAUGUCGUGAGCAAAGUCUCUGUGGUAAAUCCCACAGCCCAGUGUACCCAUGCCCUGUUGAAGAUGAUCUACUGCUCCCACUGCCAGGGUCUUGUGACUGUGAAGCCAUGUUACAACUACUGCCCAAACAUCAUGAGAGGCUGUUUGGCCAACCAAGGGGAUCUCGAUUUUGAGUGGAACAAUUUCAUAGAUGCUAUGCUGAUGGUAGCAGAGAGGCUAGAGGGUCCUUUCAACAUUGAAUCGGUCAUGGAUCCCAUCGAUGUGAAGAUUUCUGAUGCUAUUAUGAACAUGCAGGAUAAUAGUGUGCAAGUGUCUCAGAAGGUUUUCCAGGGAUGUGGACCCCCUAAGCCUCUCCCAGCUGGACGGAUUUCUCGUUCCAUCUCUGAAGGUGCCUUCAGUGCUCGCUUCAGACCGUAUCAUCCCGAGGAACGCCCAACCACAGCAGCUGGCACUAGUUUGGACCGACUGGUUACUGAUGUCAAGGAGAAACUGAAACAGGCCAAGAAAUUCUGGUCCUCUCUUCCGAGCAAUGUUUGCAAUGAUGAGAGGAUGGCUGCAGGAAAUGGCAAUGAGGAUGACUGCUGGAAUGGAAAAGGCAAAAGCAGGUUAGUCUCU
Molecule: RNA transcript, 846 nt
Organism: Carlito syrichta (Philippine tarsier)
Lineage: Eukaryota; Metazoa; Chordata; Mammalia; Primates; Tarsiidae
Gene name: glypican-4 pseudogene
Exons: 1
Source: RefSeq, a predicted model, not a curated record